GAAACGUGCCCAACGAGAAGAUCGCGAUAUGGCUCAAGGACUGCCGUACACCUUUGGGAGCCUCACUGGAUGAACAAAGCAGUAGUACACUCAAGGGUGUGCUUGUGAGAAAUGGAGGAAGUUUUGAAGAUGAUUUGUCAUUGGGAGCUGAAGCCAACCACCUCCAUGAAAGUGAUGCUCAAAUUGAAAACUGCAAUAAUAUCUUGGCCAAAGAGAGAAGAUUACAGUUUCAUCAGAAAGGGAGAAGUAUGA
Molecule: unclassified non-coding RNA, 252 nt
Filed under: Hevea brasiliensis (rubber tree)
Lineage: Eukaryota; Viridiplantae; Streptophyta; Magnoliopsida; Malpighiales; Euphorbiaceae
Source: RNAcentral